GGAGGAAACGAAAUGAAGUUCAAUGGAAUCAAAGUAGCCUGAGUGGUGUGAAGUGAGCUGAUGUCAGCAGUGGUUCCCCAUGCAGCUUGCGACCGUCUCCCAUAGCACAUCUCCUUGGACUGGCGGGACAGGCACAAGAAGGAGCAAUGGGGUUAAGUGGACAAGAAGGAAUGGUGGUUAAGCGCCUAAGGUAACAGAUUGGAGCCAUCUUGAAUCACAGAUGACCAGCGGUGAAGACCACCUGGUACAAUGAUGGUCCCUCUUGUUAAGGAAGAAGCAGUGAAAAACUGUGAAAGAGCAUAUGAAUCUAGUCUACUCAAGUUUGGAGGAGGGGAUGAAGAUUCUUUCCAGAAGCUCCAACCUUGACGAGAGAGUAGGAAAUACGUCUCCGCUUUGACAGGAACAAUGUGUGACAUGAAAGACCUCAGAUGCUGUGCAGGUUUGUGACGGUUCUUCAGAAAAAGCAUCCCCUGGCUGUUCUGCUCAAUGCCA
Molecule: long non-coding RNA, 492 nt
Organism: Globicephala melas (long-finned pilot whale)
Lineage: Eukaryota; Metazoa; Chordata; Mammalia; Artiodactyla; Delphinidae
Source: RefSeq, a predicted model, not a curated record